Long non-coding RNA from Frieseomelitta varia, 1215 nucleotides. RefSeq lists it as uncharacterized. NCBI's taxonomy places the organism in Eukaryota, Metazoa, Arthropoda, Insecta, Hymenoptera, Apidae. The transcript has 3 exons. The record is from RefSeq and is a predicted model, not a curated record.
UAUACAUAUUUACUUUCGAGUAGUGUUUGAAAUCCAUGAAAUGAAACAUAUACGUCGAAUUUGACUUGGAUCCGUAAAUAUGUAUUGGAUUUGAUCCUGUCUCUAGUAAAAACACGUAUAAUAUCGAAAUUCGAGCGAUCGUUUUAACGAUUUCAUAUUUUUUGACAAUUGUUCUAGUCUCCCGAGUGGAAGAUGGCGAAUGUUCAACAAAGGGGGCGUGAAAAAUAAGAGCUAGAGACACGUCUGGAAAAAAGGAACGAAAAUACGCGGAGAUGAAUGAGAAAGGAAAAGCAAAGAGAAACGCGCACGAAAAAGUUGGAGUUUGCAAAGGAAAAAGUCUGGUGCCAUCAAGCUCUAUGUAGAGCCUUUCUUGAGACUACGACCACAAAGCGACUGAAAAAAGGGCAAACAAAAGGGAAAAAAGAGGAGAAAAAGAAAAGGAAAAGUAGAAGAAAGGAUAAAGAAUGGAACGAAGGAACGAUGCAGUUCAGCCAAUUACCUAGAUUCUGCGGCAACCAUCGGCGUCGUCCAUUUGAGAGGUUGUAAUUUUCUCCAUUCUUGUACCGGUCACCACAACCAUGACCACUGGCCAUCACGAGUUUCUAGAGAAUCUGUGUGUCGCUGGAACAAACUGGAUCGAAAGGUAUAUCGCGUUUUGGUCGGUGUAACAGGACCAACAGAACGGUAGGCAUCAAUUUCAUGCCACGCUCUGCGACGGAUAUUCACGAUGCGAUAUCGUUUAUUUUGAUUUGCUGGAUUCGUUAUCGGCUGCCCCCGUUUGCGCCGAGGGUGCUUGAGGGAUUAAGAGAUUUCGAUGGAGAAUUUAUGGCAGGGGCUUCUUCGCUGCUGGAACUUCAUAAAUACAAGGCCAGCUCUGAAAUUACGAAUAUCGGAAUGAUUCAUGUGAUUCAUAAUGGAAAAUAAAUGAAACAGUUGGAGAGGUCAAAAAAAUAUCCAUAGAUUUAAAUUGUUUCUACGGAUCGUUGCAACGAUUCGAUGGAUUUUUCCAAGUUGUGAGUUUGCUGCAGUUGUACAAACAUUCGAUCGAUUAUCGACGAACCGUGUAGCAUCGAAGAUGUUUACUUUACACUGCUACCAGGACAGAACAAAGAAAGCGAAAAGUGGGAUGACAAAUGGAAAAUUAAAAGGAGCAGGUCGUCGGGACGAGAAAAGCCAGAGAGAGAGAAAGAAAAAGGAAGAAAGAAAGAGGAAAAA